This 240-nucleotide unclassified non-coding RNA is filed under the name soil metagenome. Its description in RNAcentral is "partial contains 5.8S ribosomal RNA, internal transcribed spacer 2, and large subunit ribosomal RNA". The record is from RNAcentral.
AAGACUAUAGACCUGCGGAGUACCUGCGGAAGGAUCAUUAGUGAUUCAAGGGGGAAAGAGAUGUGCUGGCAAAAAAUCCUUUGCAACAACUGUGCACUCUCUUACCCUUUUCAAAUUUUGAACUCUGUGCACCCUUUGUAGGCAGGGAGUUCCCUGUCUAUGCUUUUUAUCAUGCAACCCUGCAAAAUGUGUAUGAAUAGAGAUAUAAAUAAAAGUACAACUUUUAACAACGGAUCUCUA